Molecule: transfer RNA, 86 nt
Filed under: Thermaerobacter sp.
Lineage: Bacteria; Bacillati; Bacillota; Clostridia; Eubacteriales; Clostridiales Family XVII. Incertae Sedis
Description: tRNA-Leu
Rfam family: tRNA
About the family: Transfer RNA (tRNA) molecules are approximately 80 nucleotides in length.
Source: RNAcentral
GCCGGGUUGGCGGAACAGGCAGACGCGUUCGACUUAAAAUCGAAUGGGGUUUCCCCGUGUGGGUUCGAACCCCACACCCGGCACCA